GCCGUUAGACGAAAACGGAGGAAGGUGGGAUGACGUCAAAUCAUCAUGCCCCUUAUGUUCUGGGCUACACACGUGCUACAAUGGCCGGUACAGACGGACGCAAAGCCGCGAGGUGGAGCAAAUCCUAAAAAGCCGGUCUCAGUUCGGAUUGCAGGCUGCAAUUCGCCUGCAUGAAGUCGGAAUCGCUAGUAAUCGCAGGUCAGCAUACUGCGGUGAAUACGUUCCCGGGCCUU
RNAcentral lists this ribosomal RNA (233 nucleotides) under uncultured Bacillus sp. Its description in RNAcentral is "partial 16S ribosomal RNA". It matches the Rfam family "Bacterial small subunit ribosomal RNA", at positions 1151 to 1382 of the family's 1533-position model. Lineage: Bacteria; Bacillati; Bacillota; Bacilli; Caryophanales; Bacillaceae. The record is from RNAcentral.